Nycticebus coucang (slow loris) is the source of this 106-nucleotide small nucleolar RNA. RefSeq annotates it as small nucleolar RNA U13. The transcript has a single exon. Lineage: Eukaryota; Metazoa; Chordata; Mammalia; Primates; Lorisidae. The record is from RefSeq and is a predicted model, not a curated record.
AUCCUUUUGUAGUUCAUAAGUGUGACGACUGAGUUUUCAUGCUUAUGUGUGACAUGUGCCUCCCGAAGAGUCAAUCUUGUUACCAGUGCAUAUCCUCCUUCUGAAA